UAAAGCUAAUAAGGGCAUAUGGUGGAUGCCUUGGCACCAAGCGCCGAAGAAGGACGUGACAAGCUGCGAUAAGCUACGGUGAGCUGCAAAUAAGCUUUGACCCGUAGAUCUCCGAAUGAGGAAACUCACUUCCGGUAAUGCGGAAGUAUCCAUGUAUGAAUAUAUAGUACAUGUGAAGGGAACCCGGGGAACUGAAACAUCUAAGUACCCGGAGGAAAAGAAAGUAAAUAAACGAUUUCGUAAGUAGUGGUGAGCGAACGCGAAAGAGCCCAAACCGGAGAAAUUUAUUUCGAUGGGGUUCGGACCUGCAUAAUUCAAAAAAUCGUUAGUCGAACAUAGUUGGAAAACUAGGCGACACAGAGUAAUAGCCUCGUAGGCGAAAACGAUUUCAGAUGGCGGGUAUCCAGAGUAGCACAGGACACGUGGAAUCCGGUGUGAACAUGUGAGGACCAUCUCAUAAGGCUAAAUACGACUUGGUGACCGAUAGCGUAUAGUACCGUGAGGGAAAGGUGAAAAGGACCCCGGGAGGGGAGUGAAAGAGAACCUGAAACCAUAUGCUUACAAGCAGACACAGCACAACUUAAUGUGUGGUGUCGUACUUUUUGUAGAACGGGCCGGCGAGUUACGUUGCGUAGCGAGGUUAAGUGAUUAAGUCACGGAGCCGAAGCGAAAGCGAGUCUGAAACUGGCGACAUAGUUGCGUGACGUAGACCCGAAACUGGAUGACCUAACCAUGAGCAGGUUGAAGCAGUGGUAAGACACUGUGGAGGACCGAACCCACGUUCGUUGAAAAGACCGGGGAUGACUUGUGGUUAGCGGAGAAAUUCCAAUCGAAUCCAGAUAUAGCUGGUUCUCCUCGAAAUAGCUUUAGGGCUAGCCUCUGAAUAGAUUACUGAUGGUAGAGCACUGAAUGGGCUAGGGGGCUUCACAGCUUACUGAACCUUAUCAAACUUCGAAUGUCAGAUAAUUGUUUUCAGGGAGUCAGACAGCGUGAGAUAAGUUUCGUUGUCAAAAGGGAAACAGCCCAGAUCUACAACUAAGGUCCCUAAGUACAAGUUAAGUGGUAAAGGAUGUGUCAAUUCCAAAACAACCAGGAUGUUGGCUUAGAAGCAGCCACUCAUUCAAAGAGUGCGUAAUAGCUCACUGGUCGAGAGAGGGUGCGCCGAAAAUUACCGGGGCUAAAACUUGUCACCGAAGUUUAGGAAUGUAAUUUAUUACAUUGGUAGAGGAGCAAUCUAUGCGGGCUGAAGCGGUAUCGAAAGGGGCCGUGGACUGCAUAGAAGAGAGAAUGCCGGCAUAAGUAGCGAGAGGGAAGUGAGAAUCUUCCCCGUCGAAUGCCUAAGGUUUCCUGGGGAAGGUUUGUCCCCCCAGGGUAAGUCGGGACCUAAGCCGAGGCCGAAAGGCGUAGGUGAUGGACAGCAGGUAGAUAUUCCUGCACCACCGAGCGACGUUUAAAUGAGGCAAUGACACAGUAGGAUAGUCAAUCCGCGGAGUUGGAUUUCUGCGGCCAAAUCGUGAGGCUUGCACGUAGUGAAGUACGCGUGCUUUAAGGCUGGGCGAUGAUGGGGAGUGAAAAUUAGUAACGAAGUUGAUGAAUUCACACUGGCGAGAAAAGUUGCUAAAUAUGUUGUUAGGUGCCCGUACCGCAUACCGACACAGGUGGGCGAGGAGAAAAUCCUAAGACGGACGGGAUAACCCUUGUUAAGGAACUCUGCAAAAUGACCCCGUAACUUCGGAAGAAGGGGAGCCUACGAAAGUAGGCCGCAGUGAAGAGGCCCAAGCAACUGUUUACCAAAAACACAGGUCUCUGCAAAAUCGUAAGAUGAUGUAUAGGGGCUGACGCCUGCCCAGUGCUGGAAGGUUAAGGGGAUGUGUUAGCGCAAGCGAAGCACGGAACUUAAGCCCCAGUGAACGGCGGCCGUAACUAUAACGGUCCUAAGGUAGCGAAAUUCCUUGUCAGGUA
This 1962-nucleotide ribosomal RNA is filed under the name human gut metagenome. RNAcentral's name for it is "bacterial LSU rRNA". It matches the Rfam family "Bacterial large subunit ribosomal RNA", at positions 1 to 1978 of the family's 2925-position model. The record is from RNAcentral.